GGGAGUUUGCCAGAGCCUGUGCUAUGCUUUGUGGACUUCUACCUGUGAGCUAAAUAAGCUUCUUUUCUUUAUGAAGUUAGAUAUUUCACUGCACUGAUGAAAAGCUGACUAAUGUCCUCCUUAACAAAUAACUGGAGGUACAAGGCUGCAUGGCAGAUCUCUAGUAUUUACUCAAAAUAUCUAACUAACUUUUUGAUCUCGAACAACUCCCUAUUAUCCCCCACCUCCAUCCUCUGGAAGAGGAGGAAACACCAGGGAGAAUCUUGUAUGUGAAGAGACAGCAUGUGAAAAGAAAAAGACAUGUGAAGAGACAGCAAGAAGGUAACUGCCUAUGAAACAGAGGAAAUCCUUGAGAAAUUGACCCUGCUGACACCUUGAUCUUGGGCUUUCAGCCUGUGGAACUGUGAUAAAAUGAAUCUUGUGAAGUCACCCAGUCUGUGGUAUUUUGCCAAGGAAGCCCUUGCCAGGUCCAUCCUCCAUCAACUUGACACCCAUAAGCAUCUCCUUAGACCAUCUUGAAGCUUCAAAUGAAGACAGUGGCAAGGUGCUAAUUCUGCCUAACAUGAUACAACGGAUCUGCGUACAACUGAGAAUGUACCAAUUCCUGCUCCAGAAGAGGAGCUAAGGUCUUUGAUAUUUACUCUUCUAUUUGAUAGGCAAUAAUUUAAAGACUAUGAUGUAAGAUUAACAAUACUUAAAUGCUG
Long non-coding RNA from Chinchilla lanigera (long-tailed chinchilla), 704 nucleotides. RefSeq lists it as uncharacterized. Lineage: Eukaryota; Metazoa; Chordata; Mammalia; Rodentia; Chinchillidae. The record is from RefSeq and is a predicted model, not a curated record. The transcript is spliced from 3 exons.